GUUCAUUUGUUCGAGGCAAGUAGUUUUUAAGUGGGACCUUUGCAACGCAUCGUGACCCCCCCACUUACCUGGGAGCUUACCUGGUCAACUCAGUUCAUUAGACCGGAUUGGAGGCUUAGGUGCCCUCUUCAAACCAGUUAGGAGCUGUCUAGUGAUUUUAGGGCAAAUACAAGGAUUUGAUGUAUUUUUCUUUUAGUGCAUGCUUGACUGUACGUGACUGAUCCGAAAAGUAUUGG
This 236-nucleotide long non-coding RNA is filed under the name Phoenix dactylifera (date palm). RNAcentral describes it as "long non-coding RNA (PDAC_LNC016566)". Lineage: Eukaryota; Viridiplantae; Streptophyta; Magnoliopsida; Arecales; Arecaceae. The record is from RNAcentral.